AUUUCCGUAGGUGAACCUGCGGAAGGAUCAUUAGUGAAUCUAGGACGUCCAACUUAACUUGGAGUCCGAACUCUCACUUUCUAACCCUGUGCAUCUGUUUUAAAAUUGGGUAGUAGCUCUUCGGAGCGAACCACCAUUUUUCACUUAUACAAACACAAAGUCUAUGAAUGUAAACAAAUUUAUAACAAAACAAAACUUUCAACAACGGAUCUCUUGGGUCUCGCAUCGAUGAAGAACGCAGCGAAAUGCGAUACGUAAUGUGAAUUGCAGAAUUCAGUGAAUCAUCGAAUCUUUGAACGCACCUUGCGCUCCUUGGUAUUCCGAGGAGCAUGCCUGUUUGAGUGUCAUGAAAUCUUCAACCCACCUCUUUCUUAGUGAAUCUGGUGGUGCUUGGUUUCUGAGCGCUGCUCUGCUUCGGGUUAGCUCGUUCGUAAUGCAUUAGCAUCCGCAACCGAAACUUCGGAUUGACUUGGGGUAAUAGACUAUUCGCUGAGGAUUCCAGACUUGUUCUGGAGCCGAGUUGGGUUAAAGGAAGCUUCUAAUCCUAAAGUCUAUUUUUUGAUUAGAUCUCAAAUCAGGUAGGACUACCCGCUGAACUUAAGCAUAUCAAUAAGCGGAGGAAAU
RNAcentral lists this ribosomal RNA (624 nucleotides) under Rhodotorula diobovata. RNAcentral's name for it is "eukaryotic LSU rRNA". The stretch from base 194 to 347 matches the Rfam family "5.8S ribosomal RNA". The record is from RNAcentral. Lineage: Eukaryota; Fungi; Basidiomycota; Microbotryomycetes; Sporidiobolales; Sporidiobolaceae.